This 301-nucleotide ribosomal RNA is filed under the name uncultured bacterium. RNAcentral describes it as "partial 16S ribosomal RNA". It matches the Rfam family "Bacterial small subunit ribosomal RNA", at positions 509 to 807 of the family's 1533-position model. The record is from RNAcentral.
CAGCAGCCACGGUAAUACGGAGGGUGCAAGCGUUAAUCGGAAUUACUGGGCGUAAAGCGUGCGUAGGCGGUGAGUUAAGUCUGCUGUGAAAUCCCCGGGCUCAACCUGGGAAUGGCAGUGGAUACUGGCUCGCUAGAGUGUGUCAGAGGAUGGUGGAAUUCCCGGUGUAGCGGUGAAAUGCGUAGAGAUCGGGAGGAACAUCAGUGGCGAAGGCGGCCAUCUGGGACAACACUGACGCUGAGGCACGAAAGCGUGGGGAGCAAACAGGAUUAGAUACCCCCGUAGUCCCUGUCUCUUAUAC